Molecule: small nuclear RNA, 107 nt
Organism: Choloepus didactylus (southern two-toed sloth)
Lineage: Eukaryota; Metazoa; Chordata; Mammalia; Pilosa; Megalonychidae
Source: RefSeq, a predicted model, not a curated record
GUGCUCGCUUCCGGGGCACAUAUGCUGAAAUUGGAACCAUAUAAAGAAGAUUAGCUUGGCCCCUGCCCAAGGAUUAUACGCAAAUUCGUGAAACGUUCCAUAUUUUU